Molecule: long non-coding RNA, 1036 nt
Organism: Thamnophis elegans (Western terrestrial garter snake)
Lineage: Eukaryota; Metazoa; Chordata; Lepidosauria; Squamata; Natricidae
Exons: 4
Source: RefSeq, a predicted model, not a curated record
AAAGGGCUAUAAACUACCUUUUCUGUGUGGGUUCUCAGCGGUAAAGCUUUGUAAGUUGGGCCUAGGUGUUGCAUGCUUUGAGUUUUCUUAUUUUAACUAUCUUUCAAGGGCACGCUUUUCUUUGGAGAAAAGCCUUUAUCCACACCGGGCCCCGGGGUCGUUGUUCCGUGUGUCGUCCCCCCCCCCCAUUUCCCCAUUUUCGUUACCAUAUCUGGGGUUGCAAAAAAUCCGCAAGGCAGCUGCGAUGGCAGCAAAGGGAAAUAUAAAACUCCAACUCAUCCGGAUUUUUGCAGUUCGAAUGUAGCAUCCUAAUUUUUGCGCCGGAGAUAAUAAGUAGACGGAAAACGGGACAAUGGGAGGAUAUUUUUUUAAAAAAGCAGCAAACCAUAUUUGUCUUCCUGUGACGAAAAUUGCAGAGAUGGAUCCCUGCUGUCGCCUGGAAUCAAGUUGAUUUAAAGGAGAUCCGGUUUUUAUCACGGGGGCAUUGAAGUCAGUUGUUUUCACUCCAUGGUGACAAAACCUAACAGUGCGAAGAAAUAGAUAAUUAAUAUUUGUCACCAGUGUUUACUUACAUCAAUCUAAUGGAUAAGAGAUCUAACCAUUCAGGACAGUAUGGAAGUGCCAACUUCUCACCAUUUAAAGAUGUAAAUAUGCAGGAGCAUCUCAGCAAGUCUUGGAUAACUUUGUUCAGAGUCUGAAACGACAAAGAAUUAUGCCUAGUAGAAAGUAAAGGGUCCCCAACUUCUGGUCCGUGGAUUGGCACCUGUCUGCGCCAUGCCAGAAACUAAGCAACGAGAACAAGUGAAGCCACAUCCAUGGGCAGCACACGAAACCACACUCCCUCUGGUCCACAGAAAAACCUCUCCCCACGAACCCGGUCUCUGAUGCCCAAAACAUGGAACCGGUCCCUGGUCUCUUGUGGGCCACUAUCUUAAAUGAAUUUUGACUCCUGGUGAUAACAUGAAGAUAUUAUUGGCUGAGUGUGAUUGGACACAAAAGGAAUUUGUCUUUGGUGCAUGUGCUCUCAGUGUACAUA